AGAGCGAACGCUGGCGGCAGGCCUAACACAUGCAAGUCGAGCGGGCGUAGCAAUACGUCAGCGGCAGACGGGUGAGUAACGCGUGGGAACAUACCUUUUGGUUCGGAACAACCCAGGGAAACUUGGGCUAAUACCGGAUAAGCCCUUACGGGGAAAGAUUUAUCGCCGAAAGAUUGGCCCGCGUCUGAUUAGCUAGUUGGUGAGGUAACGGCUCACCAAGGCGACGAUCAGUAGCUGGUCUGAGAGGAUGAUCAGCCACAUUGGGACUGAGACACGGCCCAAACUCCUACGGGAGGCAGCAGUGGGAAUAUUGGACAAUGGGCGCAAGCCUGAUCCAGCCAUGCCGCGUGAGUGAUGAAGGCCCUAGGGUUGUAAAGCUUCUUUUGUGCGGGAAGAUAAUGACGGUACCGCAAGAAUAACGCCCCGGCUAACUUCGCGCCAGCAGCCGC
This 449-nucleotide ribosomal RNA is filed under the name uncultured bacterium. RNAcentral's name for it is "SSU rRNA". It matches the Rfam family "Bacterial small subunit ribosomal RNA", at positions 26 to 518 of the family's 1533-position model. The record is from RNAcentral.